GGGGUCGAUUUGGUUUUGACAGCAAGUCUAAUCGAAUGGUAAGCACGUCGAGCGCUGGGAAAUAGCUCGUAAAUCUCAUUUUUCACACUUUUUAAACGGCGAGAAUAACUACGCCCUAGCAGCGUAAUCUGAAUCACAGUAGGAUUAUGCCUCGGUCCGUAAGACGGACAUGCAGGAAGUCACUCGAAGGCCUUGGUUUACGGCAAUCGAUUUAGUGGCUUCGUAAAAGUAAACCUAUCGGGAGCAGGGCUUUGAUGCUCCUGAGACACCUAAUUGAAGAUAAGCUGUGCGUUGGUCGUUCCUGACCGGCAAGCAGACGAAAACCUAAACAGGAACUAAACGUGUAGAAAGCUGUUGGGUUGCUUGUUUGGACGAGGGUUCGAACCCCUCCGACUCCACCU
Molecule: transfer-messenger RNA, 401 nt
Filed under: Croceiramulus getboli
Lineage: Bacteria; Pseudomonadati; Bacteroidota; Flavobacteriia; Flavobacteriales; Flavobacteriaceae
Description: Flavobacteriaceae bacterium YJPT1-3 transfer-messenger RNA
Rfam family: transfer-messenger RNA
About the family: Bacterial tmRNA, also known as 10Sa RNA or SsrA, is named for its dual tRNA and mRNA-like properties.
Source: RNAcentral